CCUACGGGUGGCAGCAGUGAGGAAUAUUGGUCAAUGGGCGCGAGCCUGAACCAGCCAAGUAGCGUGAAGGAUGAAUGCCCUACGGGUGGUAAACUUCUGUUAUAAAGGAAUAAAGUGAGGCACGUGUGCCGUUUUGUAUGUACGUUAUGAAUAAGGAUCGGCUAACUCCGUGCCAGCAGCCGCUGUAAUACGGAGGAUCCGAGCGUUAUACGGAUUUAUGGGGUUUAAAGGGAGAGUAGAUGGGUUGUUAAGUCAGUUGUGAAAGUUUGCGGCUCAACCGUAAAAUUGCACUUGAUACUGGCAGUCUUGAGUACAGUUGCGGUAGGCGGAAUUCGUGGUGUAGCGG
RNAcentral lists this ribosomal RNA (346 nucleotides) under uncultured bacterium. Its description in RNAcentral is "partial 16S ribosomal RNA". It matches the Rfam family "Bacterial small subunit ribosomal RNA", at positions 338 to 681 of the family's 1533-position model. The record is from RNAcentral.